AUUGAACGCUGGCGGCAGGCCUAACACAUGCAAGUCGAACGAGCGGCGGACGGGUGAGUAAUGUCUGGGAAACUGCCCGAUAGAGGGGGAUAACUACUGGAAACGGUAGCUAAUACCGCAUACCAUCGGAUGACCCCAUAUGGGAGUAGCUAGUAGGGGGGGUAACGGCUACCCUAGGCGACGAUCCCUAGCUGGUCUGCGAGGAUGACCAGCCCCACGGUGACUGAGAAACGGUCCAGCCUCCGACGGUAGGCAGCAGUGGGGAAUAUUGCACAAUGGGCGCAAGCCUGAUGCAGCCAUGCCGCUUGUAUGAAGAAGGCCUUCGGGUUGUAAAGUACUUUCAGCGAGGAGGCGUUACUCGCAGAAGAAGCACCGGCUAACUCCGUGCCAGCAGCCGCGGUAAUUC
RNAcentral lists this ribosomal RNA (406 nucleotides) under uncultured bacterium. Its description in RNAcentral is "partial 16S ribosomal RNA". It matches the Rfam family "Bacterial small subunit ribosomal RNA", at positions 30 to 526 of the family's 1533-position model. The record is from RNAcentral.